GAGUGAUCGAAAGAUGAAAAGCACUUUGAAAAGAGGGUUAAAUAGUACGUGAAAUUGUUGAAAGGGAAGCGCUUGUGACCAGACUUGGGCCCGGUGGAUCAUCCAGCGUUCUCGCUGGUGCACUCCGCCGGGUUCAGGCCAGCAUCAGUUCGCCGCGGGGGAAAAAGGCUUCGGGAACGUGGCUCCUACGGGAGUGUUAUAGCCCGUUGCAUAAUACCCUGGGGCGGACUGAGGUUCGCGCUCCGCAAGGAUGCUGGCGUAAUGGUCAUCAGCGACCCGUCUUGAAACACGGACCAAG
Molecule: ribosomal RNA, 298 nt
Filed under: Purpureocillium lilacinum
Lineage: Eukaryota; Fungi; Ascomycota; Sordariomycetes; Hypocreales; Ophiocordycipitaceae
Description: partial 28S ribosomal RNA
Rfam family: Eukaryotic large subunit ribosomal RNA
Source: RNAcentral